Molecule: ribosomal RNA, 498 nt
Filed under: uncultured bacterium
Lineage: Bacteria
Description: partial 16S ribosomal RNA
Rfam family: Bacterial small subunit ribosomal RNA
Source: RNAcentral
GACGAACGCUGGCGGCGUGCCUAAUACAUGCAAGUGGAACGAGAGCGACCGGUGCUUGCACUGGUCAAUCUAGUGGCGAACGGGUGAGUAACACGUGGGUAACCUGCCCAUCAGAGGGGGAUAACAUCCGGAAACGGAUGCUAAAACCGCAUAGGUCUUCGAGCCGCAUGGCUUGAAGAGGAAAAGAGGCGCAAGCUUCUGCUGAUGGAUGGACCCGCGGUGCAUUAGCUAGUUGGGGAGGUAACGGCUCACCAAGGCCGUGAUGCAUAGCCGACCUGAGAGGGUGAUCGGCCACAUUGGGACUGAGACACGGCCCAAACUCCUACGGGAGGCAGCAGUAGGGAAUCUUCCGCAAUGGACGCAAGUCUGACGGAGCAACGCCGCGUGAGUGAAGAAGGUUUUCGGAUCGUAAAACUCUGUUGUUAGAGAAGAACAAGUGCUAGAGUAACUGUUAGCGCCUUGACGGUAUCUAACCAGAAAGCCACGGCUAACUACGUG